UCCGUAGGUGAACCUGCGGAAGGAUCAUUACCGAGUGAGGGCCCUCUGGGUCCAACCUCCCACCCGUGUUUAUCGUACCUUGUUGCUUCGGCGGGCCCGCCGCAAGGCCGCCGGGGGGCAUCUGCCCUCUGGCCCGCGCCCGCCGAAGACACCAUUGAACGCUGUCUGAAGAUUGCAGUCUGAGCAAUUAGUUAAAUAACUUAAAACUUUCAACAACGGAUCUCUUGGUUCCGGCAUCGAUGAAGAACGCAGCGAAAUGCGAUACGUAAUGUGAAUUGCAGAAUUCAGUGAAUCAUCGAGUCUUUGAACGCACAUUGCGCCCCCUGGUAUUCCGGGGGGCAUGCCUGUCCGAGCGUCAUUGCUGCCCUCAAGCACGGCUUGUGUGUUGGGCUCCGUCCUCCUUCCGGGGGACGGGCCCGAAAGGCAGCGGCGGCACCGCGUCCGGUCCUCGAGCGUAUGGGGCUUCGUCACCCGCUCUGUAGGCCCGGCCGGCGCUUGCCGACACAUCAAUCUUUUUUCCAGGUUGACCUCGGAUCAGGUAGGGAUACCCGCUGAACUUAAGCAUAUCAAUAAGCGGAGGA
Molecule: ribosomal RNA, 581 nt
Filed under: Penicillium citreonigrum
Lineage: Eukaryota; Fungi; Ascomycota; Eurotiomycetes; Eurotiales; Aspergillaceae
Description: eukaryotic LSU rRNA
Rfam family: 5.8S ribosomal RNA (bases 205-358)
Source: RNAcentral